CAGCAGGAGGACAGACAGACCAACUCUGAGGUGAGAUAAAGAUCUCUGGAUCAGACUGUACAACACUGAGAAUGGGCGGAGAUAAUAGCAAGGAGUCUGAUAACGGAGCUGUGACGAAAGUCUCAACACGGGACGGGACUUCCGAGAUAUCUGUUGAACGAGUUGUGACAGAAUCCUCAAAAAGGUCAGAUGGUACAAUUAGAUACAAACAAGACCGAGUUUGUGUCAGGGCAACCUUAAGUAAGGACGAUGCAGUGGAUGAAAGUGAUCUGAUCGGGAGGAUUUUCCAAAAUAACCAGCUGUGUAUUGAAGGAGGCAGGAGGUAACUCUUUCUGAGGUCCCUGCAGCUACUUCCACUGCUUUGCUCCCAACAUCUGCUGCUGCUGCUGCUGCUGCCAGUCCUGUGCCACUGUACUCAAGAAAAAUGCUUAAAAUGCUGAAAAUAACAACCCAAGUUUACCCAGAAGUGACUGUUAACUUAUUUGGUUUGAAGACUUUUGGAAAAUGACAACCAAAGUUAGCCCAGUUGAUUCUGAAAGACUUUUUACUGUAAUUUGAUGCACUAAUGAACUGAAUCUUAAUGAUUGUGCUUCCUGCAUUUUAAUAACUUGUUACUCAAUAAUAAUCAGUCUUAUCAAAUAUACAUUUACCUACAAAUCUGUUUUUCUUUUUUUCUAUGUGAUGAGAAGAAUAAUCUAAAUAUGUGUCUGUAAACAUGUAAACUGUCAGCAGUGCUUAUGUGUGCUUAAAUGUGGAGAUAAUUAUCUUGAAGCUUCUUUAUAUACUGCUGUGGAGUUAAACCUAUAAAAUACAUGCUCUAUAAGCUGAUUUAUAUUUUGUAUUAAUCAAUAUCAAAUGUAACUGCUAUUAAAGGGAAAUAAAAAGAUCAAUAAAUGCCUAUAACAUGCAGUGUGGUAUUUUAUUAUGUGAGACUGUUUGUGGUGCUUGCUGAGACAUGUGUCCACUGUCAGAGGAGAUCAAGAUCAGAUUGUUGUGAUUUACACAUUCAGAGGAUGAUUCAGUGAGAGAGAGACGAGGGAAGGUGACAGUCUCAAUGUUAGAAACUAAGUUAUCAGUCUGGUAUUCUGCACUCUAUGCCUGACUAACCAUGUUAACUAGACUCCACCAUCACUAACUGUAUCACCUUCAGUUCAUCCUCUGGUUUGUUCCCAACAUCUUGUCUGCUGCUGCUGUCAGUCCUGUAUCACUUUACUUAAGAGAAAUUCUUUAAAUGAAGAAAGUUGAAACUAUCAGUCAACCCAAGACAUGCAGUUGGUGGAAAGACUCAGAAGACACCCACAAGGAAAGAUGAAUUAAAGGCUACUGAU
Molecule: long non-coding RNA, 1328 nt
Filed under: Sparus aurata (gilthead seabream)
Lineage: Eukaryota; Metazoa; Chordata; Actinopteri; Spariformes; Sparidae
Description: lncRNA (ENSSAUG00010014168.1)
Source: RNAcentral